AGACGGUACCGCCACCAACAAAAAAUUUUUAUUCAUCAUCAUCGACAAGUGGCGGUAAGACAGAUAUUUGGAUGUCUAUUUUUCUAAUGAUUAAAACGGCGAGACGGCGAGGGUCAAACUAACUUUUUAAAACAAACAAUCCCAUAGGAAUUGGCGGGAAAGCAAAACAAACAAAAACAGAAACCGCCGGCCUUGUAAAAAAAAAAAAAGCCA
This 213-nucleotide long non-coding RNA is filed under the name Linum usitatissimum (flax). Its description in RNAcentral is "long non-coding RNA (LUSI_LNC003186)". Lineage: Eukaryota; Viridiplantae; Streptophyta; Magnoliopsida; Malpighiales; Linaceae. The record is from RNAcentral.